Molecule: long non-coding RNA, 1417 nt
Filed under: Homo sapiens (human)
Lineage: Eukaryota; Metazoa; Chordata; Mammalia; Primates; Hominidae
Description: long intergenic non-protein coding RNA 2641
Source: RNAcentral
AGAAAAGGCGGUGACAUCAGCAAAAGGGAGCCAACUCCUUCCCCGUCUGCCGUUUUGUACUCUUGGCCUAACGUUGACUCAAAACAGCAACUUGGAGCCUUCCCUGACCUGUUGGCAUUCCUUUAUCAUCCAACUCCUGCUUCGGGAAAAUUUGUUUCUGUCUGUCUCCAAGAUACAAAAUCAAAAAGGUGUUUUAAUCCUGAGGAAGAGUGUGAGUCUGGGAAAAUUUUGGAUCACCGAGGUGCAGCCAUACCUUCCACAGCCAUCACUGUUGCUUACAACUCACAUGCCAAGAAUUGCAAGAUGAAGAUGGUGAUCAGGAGGCAUGACUUGGAAGAAGAGCCCAAGGACCGUAGCAAGGCCCUGAUUCUGGGAGACGAGAGAACACGCUGACUUAGAAUGCUUGUCUCUGCAUCCUGGUCAGAAAGUAGAUGGACGACACUUUCAUCUCCGACUGGAUUUUGGUGAGAGAUGGGCAAACCCCGGGCUCUAGGCUGGAGCAGCAGCUCUUGUAUCCACACAAAAUCAGGACUGGUGGAGGGAGCCAUCUUCAAACAUAAAUUUGCGUCUUUUGGCAAUGCACUCCUUGGGUUUGGAAGCUUCCCUCCAAGAUGCUGAGCCCAAUGUUUGGGGAAAGCCAGGGAAACAGAUGCUGGGUCAGUGCUGCUCCCACCUCCUCUGCUCCCCUCCUGAGGGCUCCACUGAGUCACCAGCCAGCAAACAGCCCAUGCGCCCUGGAGCAGAUGGACUGUGGGUACACGAGCCUCUGAACUCUUGGGCAGCAUGGGCACAACAUCCUUUUGGCCUCACCCAAUGACCUGGCUGCAUAUUAUGAAUAUUCAGUGAAACAACGUGUGUGCUCACCAGGCAGGAAGAGCUCAGCAAAUGGUGGCUGGUCUGGAAAUUAUUGUCAUCACUAUAAUCCUCAUCGACAUCCUCAGCCUUAUUGUCAUCAUCAUCAACCUCAUCAGUGUCAUCAUCAGCCUCAUCAACGUCAUCAUCAGCCUCAUCACUGUCAUCAUCAGCCCUUUGUCAUCAUCAUCAUCCACCUUGCUGUUCUCUUCCUUGUUGACAUCAUUAUCCUCAUCCUCCUCAUCACCAUCAACAGCAUUAUUUUUAUUUUUUAUUCUUCCACCUGUAAGAGUUUCUUUUCCUCCCUCUUAUUGUUUUCCUCUUGGGAUGACUAGUGGUGAAGGAAGUGUCAGAGGCAAUGACCUCACAGCUGUCGUUGCCAUGGGUGACACCUCCCAGAAAGAGCUUAUUGGAACUUUCAGUCCAGGGGAGUUUCUGCUGUUCCAGGAUGGAGGAAAUGUUCAAGAACUGUGGAGCAUCUGAGAUUUUUUUCCUACUUUUGAUGUCCACCUAGUCAAAGUUCAGGUAGGCUUAUUGUCUAUUAUAAAAGCUCCAGGUUCCCAAA